This is a long non-coding RNA of Spinacia oleracea (spinach), 3505 nucleotides long. RefSeq lists it as uncharacterized. The record is from RefSeq and is a predicted model, not a curated record. The transcript has 5 exons. Lineage: Eukaryota; Viridiplantae; Streptophyta; Magnoliopsida; Caryophyllales; Amaranthaceae.
GUUAAAAGUUGUCAAUUAUUACAUAGGUGUUUAGUUAUUAUUGUCAAUUACUAUAUUAUCUCAUAUUUUGGGCAAUUAGUCACUAAAUAUAUCAUUAAUCAUACUUUAAAAAACCAUUUUAAAUAAUUAAUUAAAAUUUAAAAAAAUCCGAAACUAAUUUUUGCAGAAAAUAAAAAAAAAAACCCCAAAAAAAUUAAACUACUACCACUCCUCCUCCUCUUUAAGCUUCGUACUAUUAUCACCGUCACUCUUCACCAAAAACUCCUUGCUGCCAACAUCCAUUUUAGCAGCAGUGGCAGAAGAGGAAGACAUCGAAUGCGAAUCCCCCUCUUUCUUAACCACCACCGCUGUUUCCACCUUCGGCUCAACCUUCAGCCUAUAAUCUUUCAUCAACUUCGACUAAAACCUAGCGGGUUUCGGCGCGAACCUUGACGGUUUCGGUGGCGGCGCUUGAAAUGGAUCAUCUAGAUCAUCAAAGUCUGUUAUUCUCUCUCUUUUGAAAAAAAAUCAGAAGCUUCAACAAUGGCGGUAACCUGAAAAUGGUUUAUUUGCAGGGGUUUGGAUUUAGGCUUAAUGAAGUUAUAUUUUCUUUCGCAUCGGUAGAUUGAUUGAGAAAUUUUUUUGGGAGUUUAAUUUUUUUUUGGUAACUUUGGAUUUUUCUAACUUAAUUAUUUUGAAUUUUUUUUGUUAAUUUAUUUAAUCAAUUAGUUAAACUAUAAUUAACGAUGAAUUAUGAUAUAGUGACUAAUUGGCUUGAAUCAUAACACUUAUAAAGGCUUGAACAUGAGUUACUAUUCCUGUAACAUUUAAAUGACUAUAAUGCCCUUUGUUCUUCUUUGUUUCACGCGGUUUGCCCUUCUCUCCAGAUCAUGCCACGUUGCUUUUACUCGGUUCCUUUCAGCUGAUUUCGCCCCGCCUUCCUCUUCCAUCACCUAAAUUGCUAUGGUUUCUUCGCCCUUCUUCCUCUUCGAUGAGCCUUCUCUGGUUUUUUCGCCCACUCUCCUCAUCUCUCUCAUGGCGCUGCUUCUUCUUUGUCUGUCUCUCCUCUCCCAUCUUUCUCUCCCCUUUAUUGCUCUACUUUUCUCUGCUACAUCAUUUCGCCCAGCAGCACCUCUCUGUCCUCGUACCAUGAUAUGCCUUAUUUUUCUGCGUCUCUUAUCUCGCUUCUUUCCAAUUGAUCGUGUUAUAGAAAUUCUGUUUUAGCGUCUCAUUCACGUAAAACUGGAAAUCAGUCUUCAAUCUUCAAUUAAAGGUAAAUUGUUCUUCCCAUCCUCUCUCUGGAAAGAACAACAAGUAGAAAUGCGGAAAUGAUGUUUCAAUUGUGCAAAAUUCAUCAUCUUUUAUUCUGAAUUUCCGCAAAUUGAGGUUCAAUUUAAUUGGUUCUCAUUGUUUUCUCAUACUUACUGUUAUCUCAAGCUGAGCUUUGUGCAAUAUUAUUGCUUGGAUUUUUAUCACUCUAAAAGUUAACUUUUUUUAUCAAUGUAUGAUAAUUUGAGUUUUUUAUUUUGAAUUUGAAGAACAAUGCAAUUCCCACUUUCCACGGGGAACUUACUGUUAUUUGACAGUCGUGUUACAAGCAAUCUGACAAAAUUUUGUAGAUUGCUCUCUUCUUGCUUACUGCUCGUUCGUCUAUCACGAGAUCAUCAGCGAUCACUUUCACGGUCACCUAUUAUUCACUCCUCAAAACGGGUAUGAAAGACAUUCCAUUUGAUUCUACGUUUCUUAUUUAGUUUAUGUUUGUAUCGGUAAUCUUAGAUAAAAAAAUAUGAUGCUGAGAUUUUUUUGCUAGGGUAAUGUGAUAUCUUUUGUAUUUGCUCACAAUUUAUUUUAUCAUGUCUUAGAUGCUUUUUGGAUUGGGGAUGUAAUUUAUCUUUCUUGAAUGGUUAGUCCAUUGACUAAGUUGCUCUAAGUCAUGUUUGCCAAUGUUUAGGCUUGGAUCAACUCAGUGCUUGUCAAAUUGCAUUGCCUACUCACUUUCACAGGCAUUUUUCUUUUCUAUUGUAUGUAUGCAAAAUGGCUAAUUUUAGUUAAAAUUGUGCUUUGCAGAGGUAAACAAAGAUAGUUCUGGAUGAGAAUCAGUUCCUGGUAAACAUUCUACGGACGUUACUCCAAGAGUUGGUGGAUCCUCUAUUGGUUGGAUGUGAUACCAGAAACAUGAAUGCUGAGACACUGAAAAUCUUUUGCAACACGAAGGUGAUUACCAAGGGAAGAAAGGUUCAUGCCUAAAUUCUUGCCAGUAGAUAAUCCUACUAAUCCAAGAAUAUCCUUAGCAUUUUCUGGUCUGUUCUGCUGUAACAGUACACCACUACAGCUUACUCCGAAAUUUCUUGUUCCCGAUGCCUCAUGCUCUUCAUAAUGCAUGCAGUGAACAAGGUAAACAAAUUUAGUGUGUUCGGUCGUUUUUUCCUUUGACAUCAUCUCCUUCCCUUGAGGAGAGGAGCUACGCAAACCUGUCUCCAAUUUUCCUGUCAAAUAAAUCUAUUAUGCUUGGAGGUUGUAUUAUCGGUCCUGCUCGGAUUUUAAAGGAGCAUAUGUUUCAUGUGAUUAACUAUGGAAUAAGGUAACUUUGUUGGCUUUUCUUUGUCAAGAUCUAUCAACUAUGGUUCAAGGAUUAAUUUGUCCAUAACCUUUUUUCUUCUUUAAGGGAUGUGUUAUACAGAUUCAUCUUUUAUGGGUACACCUAACGUAUUUCGAUCUAUUCCUCACUUUUCAACCUCUCUCUUUCCAAAGGGAACUCGAACACAAAGGGAUGAAUAUGUAUACUCAAUUUUGAGCCAGAGCUUCCCUCUAACAAUGCAAGCCCCCCAAGAAUCGAAGCAUUUGAUUCUUCAAGGUUCCCUGAAAGACCGCCACCAAAGCUAGCUCCAGCCAGUAGAAGUGGAUCAAAAGUGUCACAUGGAAAGACCCAACGUUCAACCUUAACCUCAACGAAGAUGACAAAUCAUAACAGUGGCCUCUCACGGAAACAACCAUUAGAGAAGACCUCUUGGAAUGUUGUUGGACCUUAAGAAGAUAACGAUUUCUCCUGCGUUGUCAGGAAAACUCGGACCAAUGCUCGUUACUCAAGUGGAUUAUCAGAUGAUGUUGUCUCACUUGACGGGAUUGGAUGAACCAUAUUUGUUUGUCUCAUUGUCUUCAAAAUCUUGACCUCAUACCCAGGUCUCAAUUCUUGUAGCAUUGUCGAUACAUGCUACCUAUAGGCAUUAUUAUUGUAGAGCAUAAUACAAGGCGUGUCUGACUGUUAGGACGGUGCUAAGUUGCUAACUGAUUUGAUAGUCAUACUUUUUGAAUAACCUCCUAAAAAAAUUAGUUAUCCCUCAGUUAUUAAUUGAGAAGCCCAAAGCGUUUCUGGAGCUUAGGAAGUAUUUUUAAUGCUUUAUUGUAUUCGAUUAAUGUCAAAUGAAUUGUCUUUAACUCUAUAUUAACUAGUCUUAUAUGCACGCUAUGCGUGCUGUAUUAUGGAUGGUUGACCUUUACUACUCUUUGAUUUUAGGUGUUUUGUUAA